Molecule: small RNA, 461 nt
Filed under: uncultured Glomus
Lineage: Eukaryota; Fungi; Glomeromycota; Glomeromycetes; Glomerales; Glomeraceae
Description: SSU rRNA
Rfam family: Eukaryotic small subunit ribosomal RNA
Source: RNAcentral
AGCAGCCGCGGUAAUUCCAGCUCCAAUAGCGUAUAUUAAAGUUGUUGCAGUUAAAAAGCUCGUAGUUGAAUUUCGGGAUCAGUAUGUUGGUCGUGCUUCGGUACGUACUGUCAUUACUGGUUUCUACCUUCUGAAGAACCAUGAUGUCAUUAAUUUGGUGUCGUGGGGAAUCAGGACUGUUACUUUGAAAAAUUAGAGUGUUUAAAGCAGGCUCGCGCUUGAAUACAUUGGCAUGGAAUAAUGAAAUAGGACGUUUGAUUCUAUUUUGUUGGUUUCUAGGAUCGACGUAAUGAUUAAUAGGGAUAGUUGGGGGCAUUAGUAUUCAAUUGUCAGAGGUGAAAUUCUUGGAUUUAUUGAAAGACUAACUACUGCGAAAGCAUUUGCCAAGGAUGUUUUCAUUAAUCAAGAACGAAAGUUAGGGGAUCGAAGACGAUCAGAUACCGUCGUAGUCUUAAACCAUA